This 88-nucleotide transfer RNA is filed under the name Elusimicrobiota bacterium. RNAcentral describes it as "Elusimicrobia bacterium (hot springs metagenome) tRNA-Leu". It matches the Rfam family "tRNA". From Rfam's summary of the family: Transfer RNA (tRNA) molecules are approximately 80 nucleotides in length. Their secondary structure includes four short double-helical elements and three loops (D, anti-codon, and T loops). The record is from RNAcentral. Lineage: Bacteria; Pseudomonadati; Elusimicrobiota.
GCUCGGGUGGCGGAACAGGCAGACGCACGGGACUUAAAAUCCCGGGACCCUUUAAGCGGUCGUGAGGGUUCAACUCCCUCCCCGAGCA